GAUGAACGCUGGCGGCGUGCCUAAUACAUGCAAGUCGAGCGAACAGACGAGGAGCUUGCUCCUCUGACGUUAGCGGCGGACGGGUGAGUAACACGUGGAUAACCUACCUAUAAGACUGGGAUAACUUCGGGAAACCGUAGCUAAUACCGGAUAACAUGUUGAACCGCAUGGUUCAACAGUGAAAGACGGUCUUGCUGUCACUUAUAGCUGGAUCCGCGCCGCAUUAGCUAGUUGGUAAGGUAACGGCUUACCAAGGCAACGAUGCGUAGCCGACCUGAGAGGGUGAUCGGCCACACUGGAACUGAGACACGGUCCAGACUCCUACGGGAGGCAGCAGUAGGGAAUCUUCCGCAAUGGGCGAAAGCCUGACGGAGCAACGCCGCGUGAGUGAAGAAGGUCUUCGGAUCGUAAAACUCUGUUAUUAGGGAAGAACAAAUGUGUAAGUAACUAUGCACGUCUUGACGGUACCUAAACAGAAAGCCACGGCUAACUACGUG
RNAcentral lists this ribosomal RNA (497 nucleotides) under uncultured bacterium. RNAcentral's name for it is "partial 16S ribosomal RNA". It matches the Rfam family "Bacterial small subunit ribosomal RNA", at positions 28 to 507 of the family's 1533-position model. The record is from RNAcentral.